This 466-nucleotide ribosomal RNA is filed under the name uncultured bacterium. RNAcentral describes it as "bacterial SSU rRNA". It matches the Rfam family "Bacterial small subunit ribosomal RNA", at positions 337 to 793 of the family's 1533-position model. The record is from RNAcentral.
UCCUACGGGGAGGCAGCAGUGGGGAAUAUUGCACAAUGGGGGAAACCCUGAUGCAGCCAUGCCGCGUGUGUGAAGAAGGCCUUCGGGUUGUAAAGCACUUUCAGUAGGGAGGAAGGUAGUGUAGUUAACACCUGCAUUAUUUGACGUUACCUACAGAAGAAGCACCGGCUAACUCCGUGCCAGCAGCCGCGGUAAUACGGAGGGUGCGAGCGUUAAUCGGAAUUACUGGGCGUAAAGCGCAUGCAGGCGGCCUGUUAAGUCAGAUGUGAAAGCCCGGGGCUUAACCUCGGAAUUGCAUUUGAAACUGGCAGGCUAGAGUCUUGUAGAGGGGGGUAGGAAUUUCAGGUGUAGCGGUGAAAUGCGUAGAGAUCUGAAGGAAUACCAGUGGCGAAGGCGGCCCCCUGGACAAAGACUGACGCUCAGAUGCGAAAGCGUGGGGAGCAAACAGGAUUAGAUACCCUGGUAG